This 314-nucleotide ribosomal RNA is filed under the name uncultured bacterium. RNAcentral describes it as "bacterial SSU rRNA". It matches the Rfam family "Bacterial small subunit ribosomal RNA", at positions 30 to 326 of the family's 1533-position model. The record is from RNAcentral.
AGUGAACGCUGGCGGCAGGCCUAACACAUGCAAGUCGAGCGGCAGCGGGUUCCCGCGAGGGGAUGCCGGCGAGCGGCGGACGGGUGAGGAACACAUCGGAAUCUGCCUGGUUGUGGGGGAUAACGUAGGGAAACUUACGCUAAUACCGCAUGCGACCCUGAGUCGACGGACUGGGGGUGAAAGUGAGGGACCUUCGGGCCUCACGCGACCAGAUGAGCCGAUGUCGGAUUAGCUAGUUGGCGGGGUAACGGCCCGCCAAGGCGACGAUCCGUAGCUGGUCUGAGAGGAUGAUCAGCCACACUGGGACUGAGACA